CGAGAUACUGAUCGGUCUCGUGGGCUCGGAGAUGUGUAUAAGAGACAGCUGAAGGAGCUAGGGGCCAAACCAGGUUACCAAACUCUAUCAAACUCCGAAUACCAUGUAUGUAAGAACAGGAGUCAGACUGUGGGAGAUAAGUUCCAUGGUCAAAAGGGAAACAGCCCAGAUCGUCAAUUAAGGUCCCAAAGAUAUAGUUAAGUGGGAAACGAUGUGAUUUUGCGUAAACAACCAGGAUGUUGGCUUAGAAGCAGCCAUUCGUUUAAAGAGUGCGUAAUAGCUCACUGGUCGAGUGAAGUUGCGCGGAAAAUUACCGGGGCUAAACUAUACACCGAAAUUGCGGGUUUAUAUAGAAAUAUAUAAGCGGUAGAGGAGCAUUCUAUUGUAGGUUGAAGGUAGAUCGAAAGGACUGCUGGACGAAGUAGAAGAGAGAAUGCCGGAAUAAGUAGCGAAAGCAUGGUGAGAAUCCAUGCCAUCGAAAGUCUAAGGUUUCCUGGGGAAGGUUCGUCCGCCCAGGGUAAGCCGGGAGCUAAGGCGAGGCCGGAAGGCGUAGUCGAUGCACAUACGGUUGAAAUUCCGUAGCCACCGAACCUUAAGUACACUGACACAUGGAGAUAGCGGGACCCGGGCGUUGGUUGACCCGGGCGUAAGGGACCGAACUUUAGUAGGGAAGUCCGCGAUGCUCUGUGGCGAGAAAAGGUGUAUGGUAUGCUAAGGUGCCCGUACCGCAAACCGACACAGGUAGAUGAGGAGAGAAUCCUAAGGCCAACGGGAGAAGGGUUGUUAAGGAACUCGGCAAAAUGACCCCGUAACUUCGGGAUAAGGGGAGCUCUGAAAAGAGCCGCAGAGAAUAGGCCCAAGCGACUGUUUACCAAAAACACAGGUCUAUGCUAAAUCGAAAGAUGACGUAUAUGGGCUGACGCCUGCCCGGUGCCGGAAGGUUAAGAGGAGAUGUCAGCGCAAGCGAAGCAUUGAAUUGAAGCCCCGGUAAACGGCGGCCGUAACUAUAACGGUCCUAAGGUAGCGAAAUUCCUUGUCGGGUAAGUUCCGACCUGCACGAAUGGCAUAACGAUGGCCACACUGUCUCCUCCCGAGACUCAGUGAAGUUGAAAUGUUUGUGAUGAUGCAAUCUACCCGCGGCUAGACGGAAAGACCCCAUGAACCUUUACUGCAGCUUUGCAUUGAACUGUGAACCGAUUUGUGUAGGAUAGGUGGGAGGCAGAGAAGAGGCCACGCCAGUGGUCUUGGAGCCGACCUUGAAAUACCACCCUGAUUUGUUUGCGGUUCUAACCACGGACAGUGAUCCUGUCUUGGGACCGUGCAUGGUAGGCAGUUUGACUGGGGCGGUCUCCUCCUAAAGGGUAACGGAGGAGUACGAAGGUACGCUAGGUACGGUCGGAAAUCGUGCUGAUAGUGCAAUGGCAAAAGCGUGCUUGACUGCGAGAGCAACAACUCGAGCAGAUGCGAAAGCAGGUCAUAGUGAUCCGGUGGCUCUGAAUGGAAGGGCCAUCGCUCAACGGAUAAAAGGUACUCUGGGGAUAACAGGCUGAUACCGCCCAAGAGUUCAUAUCGACGGCGGUGUUUGGCACCUCGAUGUCGGCUCAUCUCAUCCUGGGGCUGUAGUCGGUCCCAAGGGUAUGGCUGUUCGCCAUUUAAAGAGGUACGUGAGCUGGGUUUAAAACGUCGUGAGACAGUUUGGUCCCUAUCUGCCGUGGGCGUUGGAAGAUUGACGGGGGCUGCUCCUAGUACGAGAGGACCGGAGUGGACGCACCUCUGGUGUACCGGUUGUCACGCCAGUGGCAUUGCCGGGUAGCUAAGUGCGGAAGAGAUAACCGCUGAAAGCAUCUAAGCGGGAAACUUGCCUGAAGAUGAGUCUUCCCGGAGGUUGAACCUCCCUCAAGAGUCGUCCGAGACCAGGACGUCGAUAGGUCAGGUGUGUAAGCGCUGUAAGGCGUUGAGCUAACUGAUACUAAUUGCUCGUGAGGCUUGAUC
RNAcentral lists this ribosomal RNA (1992 nucleotides) under human gut metagenome. RNAcentral describes it as "bacterial LSU rRNA". It matches the Rfam family "Bacterial large subunit ribosomal RNA", at positions 865 to 2925 of the family's 2925-position model. The record is from RNAcentral.